Molecule: ribosomal RNA, 494 nt
Filed under: uncultured bacterium
Lineage: Bacteria
Description: partial 16S ribosomal RNA
Rfam family: Bacterial small subunit ribosomal RNA
Source: RNAcentral
GACGAACGCUGGCGGCGCGCUUAACACAUGCAAGUCGAACGGAAAGGCCUGCUUUCCCUUGUGGAUUGCGGGUACUCGAGUGGCGAACGGGUGAGUAACACGUGAGUGAUCUGCCCCCAACUUGGGUAUAAGCCUGGGAAACUGGGUCUAAUUCCCGAUAGGACUGCAGGGUGGUGCCUGUGGUGGAAAACGAUUUUCUAGUGGUUGGGGAUGAGCUCGCGGCCUACCAGCUUGUUGGUGGGGUAAUGGCCUACCAAGGCGGCGACGGGUAGCCGGCCUGAGAGGGUGGACGGCCACAUUGGGACUGAGAUACGGCCCAGACUCCUACGGGAGGCAGCAGUGGGGAAUAUUGCACAGUGGGCGGAAGCCUGAUGCAGCGACGCCGCGUGGGGGAUGACGGCCUUCGGGUUGUAAACUCCUUUCGACCGCGAGGAAGCCACCUGGUUGGAAGGGUGGUGACGGUAGUGGUAGAAGAAGCACCGGCUAACUACGUG